UACAGAGGUCUCAAGCGUUGUUCGGAUUCAUUGGGCGUAAAGGGCGCGUAGGCGGCGCGGUAAGUCACUUGUGAAAUCUUUGAGCUUAACUCAGAACGGCCAAGUGAUACUGCAGUGCUAGAGUGCAGAAAGGGCAAUCGGAAUUCUUGGUGUAGCGGUGAAAUGCGUAGAUAUCAAGAGGAACACCUGAGGCGAAGGCGGGUUGCUAGGCUGACACUGACGCUGAGUGCGCGAAAGCCAGGGGAGCAA
This 249-nucleotide ribosomal RNA is filed under the name uncultured bacterium. RNAcentral describes it as "partial 16S ribosomal RNA". It matches the Rfam family "Bacterial small subunit ribosomal RNA", at positions 524 to 771 of the family's 1533-position model. The record is from RNAcentral.